AUUCUGCAUUUUUAACAAGUUC
RNAcentral lists this microRNA (22 nucleotides) under Equus caballus (horse). RNAcentral's name for it is "eca-miR-544b". Its record names the gene eca-miR-544b. Lineage: Eukaryota; Metazoa; Chordata; Mammalia; Perissodactyla; Equidae. The record is from miRBase by way of RNAcentral.